CGAAAGCCUGACGGAGCAAGACCGCGUGAGGGAGGAAGGCUCUUGGGUUGUAAACCUCUUUUGUCAGGGAAGAACACAAUGACGGUACCUGAAGAAUCAGCAUCGGCUAACUCCGUGCCAGCAGCCGCGGUAAUACGGGGGAUGCAAGCGUUAUCCGGAAUUAUUGGGCGUAAAGCGUCCGCAGGUGGCUAAUCAAGUCUGCUGUCAAAGGUUGGGGCUUAACCCCAAAAAGGCAGUGGGAACUGGGAAGCUAGAGUGCAGUAGGGGUAGAGGGAAUUCCCGGCGUAGCGGUGAAAUGCGUAGAGAUCGGGAAGAACAUCGGUGGCGAAAGCGCUCUACUGGACUGCAACUGACACUCAGGGACGAAAGCUAGGGGAGCGAAUGGGAUUAGAUACCCCAGUAGUCCUACCGUAAACGAUGGAUACUAGGUGUGGCUUGUAUCGACCCGAGCCGUGCCGUAGCUAACGCGUUAAGUAUCCCGCCUGGGGAGUACGCACGCAAGUGUGAAACUCAAAGGAAUUGACGGGGGCCCGCACAAGCGGUGGAGUAUGUGGUUUAAUUCGAUGCGACGCGAAGAACCUUACCAGGGCUUGACAUGUCGCGAAUCCUCUUGAAAGAGAGGAGUGCCUUCGGGAGCGCGAACACAGGUGGUGCAUGGCUGUCGUCAGCUCGUGUCGUGAGAUGUUGGGUUAAGUCCCGCAACGAGCGCAACCCUCGUCUUUAGUUGCCAGCACUAAGUUGGGCACUCUAGAGAGACUGCCGGUGACAAACCGGAGGAAGGUGGGGAUGACGUCAAGUCAGCAUGCCCCUUACGCCCUGGGCUACACACGUACUACAAUGCGACGGACAAAGGGCAGCAAGCCAGCGAUGGCAAGCAAAUCCCAUAAACCGUGGCUCAGUUCAGAUCGUAGGCUGCAACUCGCCUACGUGAAGGAGGAAUCGCUAGUAAUUGCAGGUCAGCAUACUGCAGUGAAUUCGUUCCCGGGCCU
RNAcentral lists this ribosomal RNA (989 nucleotides) under Microcoleus steenstrupii. RNAcentral describes it as "bacterial SSU rRNA". It matches the Rfam family "Bacterial small subunit ribosomal RNA", at positions 376 to 1381 of the family's 1533-position model. The record is from RNAcentral. Lineage: Bacteria; Bacillati; Cyanobacteriota; Cyanophyceae; Oscillatoriales; Microcoleaceae.